GUGCAGCAGUCGCGCAAACUUUGCAAUACACGAAAGUGUGACAGGGCUAUCCCGAGUGCCGUCCGCUGAGGGUGGCUUUUACCCAGUCUAUAAAGCUGGGAGAAUAAGGAGAGGGCAAGUCUGGUGUCAGCCGCCGCGGUAAUACCAGCUCUCCGAGUGGUGUGGAUGUUUAUUGGGCCUAAAGCAUCCGUAGCUUGCCAAGCAAGUCCCCUGUUAAACCCACCGAAUUAAUCGUUGGAUUGCGGGGGAUACUGCUCGGCUAGGGGACGGGAGAGGCCGACGGUAUUUCCGGGGUAGGGGUGAAAUCCUAUAAUCCCGGGAAGACCACCAGUGGCGAAGGCUGUCGGCUAGAACGCGCCCGACGGUGAGGGAUGAAAGCUGGGGGAGCGAACCGGAUUAGAUACCCGGGAGUCC
RNAcentral lists this ribosomal RNA (414 nucleotides) under uncultured crenarchaeote. Its description in RNAcentral is "partial 16S ribosomal RNA". It matches the Rfam family "Archaeal small subunit ribosomal RNA", at positions 330 to 747 of the family's 1478-position model. The record is from RNAcentral. Lineage: Archaea; Thermoproteati; Thermoproteota.